RNAcentral lists this unclassified non-coding RNA (214 nucleotides) under Hevea brasiliensis (rubber tree). The record is from RNAcentral. Lineage: Eukaryota; Viridiplantae; Streptophyta; Magnoliopsida; Malpighiales; Euphorbiaceae.
UAGGGCAAAGAAUUUAUGAUGUUUGCACAUACUGAACUAAGUUACCUAACAAUUAGCCAUAUUAACUAAGAGACAUUAAUAUGAAAUUCCUCAAUGCCUAACCAAAUUAAAGUGCUUAUCAGGUUCCAGUCAUUAUCUAUGAUGCUGAAAAUACCCGAAAAAUAGAAACAAAAAUUUUUUACCUUAGUUUUGGUCAAGUUUUACAUCAUAUGAA